This 1269-nucleotide long non-coding RNA is filed under the name Equus caballus (horse). RNAcentral's name for it is "lncRNA (ENSECAG00000042742.2)". Lineage: Eukaryota; Metazoa; Chordata; Mammalia; Perissodactyla; Equidae. The record is from RNAcentral.
AUUGUGAGCCUCAGCGUCAGGAGAAACGGAGGAAGAGCUGCCAAGAAACGGGUGCUCGGGUGCUCGGCACCUCCACACCCAGCAGAGCUGCUGCCGAGAACUGCAAGAGAUGAAGAAACAGAGCCAGAGAGGAAUCUGUGCAAGUCACAUCGCACAGACAACAGCGGCGGGCAGCGUCCAGACCCCACUCUGGCCACGGGGGAGCUGCGACGCUAUUGCUGAGCCUUGGCAUUCAUAGCAGACCUGAGGAUCCCACUCCAUCCUCCAGCAGGCCACCGGCCUCCCAGGAUCACCAUCCACCUUGUUCCCUGAAGGACCAGCAGAGGGCAGAGAGGAACAAAGCCCUGUGCUUCUGCCCAUAAUCGUCAUUGUUCUCACUGCGUCAUCAAAUCCCUGAGUGGAUGGGAGAGACUAGGUUAGAAGCCUCUGGCAGAACCCUGGUGCCCUCAGCACACGCCGGCCCCACUGCCUUGAACAGUGGGCAGUGGGCAGUGAGGAAGGCUGGCCCUGCCCUCCAGGACCUCCCAGGCCAGAGCAGACAAGUCCUCUCGGGUGAACUCUCUGCGACUCCCCUGCCCAGCUGUGCCCAGAUGGCUCCAGGGAGUGGAAAAUACCACCAUCUGGGGACAGUUCUGACUGUUUAGGUGCCACUUGUUUCCAAAGAAGGAUUGGACACAGCUGCUCCUCCUCCUGAUUCGCCCACACCUAUUGGCCGCAGCUCCUACUUCCCUCCUUGGGGACACAGAGUCGAACCCCACUUCUGCGUGACAGCCCUUCUCACGCUCGAGAGCAACAGUUCGGUGACCCUCUGAGUCUGCACUUUUCCACCUGAACAGCCCCAGUUCCUUCACCGGCUCCCAAUGUGAGGCGAUUUCAAGUCCCCUCACCUCCGUGGAUUUCUUCCAAAACAAGGCCCACGGGCACUACAGCUCUGCUGAAGUGUGUGGAGACAGGGCCCCCACAGCUAUAUUUACACAGGCUGCUUCUUCAGAUGAAACCAACCAAUUGUUCACUGAAACUGCUCAUUGGGCUGCUAAUUUUUCCACAGAACCUAAGUCGUUGCAGACAGACCAGCGAUGCUGACAGACAGGUGGGGCUUAUGACCAGCAGAGGCAAACAGGAGAACUCCCACACAGCUGGAGUCAAAUAUUCACAGAGUAAGUGAGGAUGAAUGAGAAGCUUACUUCUGUGACCACGAGACUCCCACGCUCAGACAGGAACGUCUUUACUCUCCUCUGAUCCAUCAGAGAAGGCUUUCUGGAGGAGGAG